Molecule: ribosomal RNA, 778 nt
Filed under: Isabelozyma heimii
Lineage: Eukaryota; Fungi; Ascomycota; Pichiomycetes; Serinales; Metschnikowiaceae
Description: eukaryotic LSU rRNA
Rfam family: Eukaryotic large subunit ribosomal RNA
Source: RNAcentral
UCAGUAACGGCGAGUGAAGCGGCAAACGCUCAAAUUUGGAAUCUGGCGCCCUCGGCGUCCGACUUGUAAUUUGAAAACUCUAUCUUGGGAGGCGGCGCUGUCGAAGUUCCUUGGAACAGGACGUCCCAGAGGGUGAGAAUCCCGUGCGAUGGCAGCCGCGGACCAUGUAAGUUACUGUCGACGAGUCUAGUUGUUUGGGAAUGCAGCUCUAAUUGGGUGGUAAACUCCAUCUAAAGCUAAAUAUUGGCGAGAGACCGAUAGCGAACAAGUACGGUGAUGGAAAGAUGAAAAGAACUUUGAAAACACAGUGAAAAAGUACGUGAAAUUGUUGAAAGGGAAGGGCUUGAGAUCAGACAUGCCUUCGGGCAGGCCAGCAUCCGCUGGAAGGGGCAGACAAGGGCGCCGCAAUGUGGCCUGGCUUCGGCGAGGUGUUAUAGGCGGCGUCGAUGUGUCCACUUCCGGCUGAGGACCGCGCUUCGGCAAGGAUGCUGGCGUAAUGAUCCCCAGCCGCCCGUCUUGAAACACGGACCAAGGAGUCUAACGUCUAUGCGAGUGUUUGGGUGUAAAACCCGUACGCGGAAUGAAAGUGAACGCAGGUGGGGGCCCCUCGGGGUGCACCAUCGACCGAUCCUGAAGUGUUCGGAAGGAUUUGAGUAAGAGCAUAGCUGUUGGGACCCGAAAGAUGGUGAACUAUGCCUGAAUAGGGUGAAGCCAGAGGAAACUCUGGUGGAGGCUCGUAGCGGUUCUGACGUGCAAAUCGAUCGUCGAAUUUGGGUAU